Long non-coding RNA from Spodoptera frugiperda (fall armyworm), 532 nucleotides. RefSeq lists it as uncharacterized. The transcript is spliced from 2 exons. NCBI's taxonomy places the organism in Eukaryota, Metazoa, Arthropoda, Insecta, Lepidoptera, Noctuidae. The record is from RefSeq and is a predicted model, not a curated record.
UUGAAAUGUCAAUAUUGUAAAAAUAUUUUUAUUGAAAAUAUUUUCUAUUUUGCGAUGUGAUUUUGUGAUUAUUUUCCUAACAAAAAGAAGAACUGUGAUGUGGAUUGUGCUCUCUUUAAAGUUUGGACCUUUUGUAUAAAUGUAUAACGCAAAAGUUUUUUUAGUUUCAUGUUGUUUUAUGUAUUGGAUUUGACCUCAUAAAGAAAAGCAUUAAUUUGCGUAUAUAUCUUGUUUUUAAUGAAGAACAUCAAACCGAAAUAAUACAAUCAUGUCGAUGAAGUAUUUGAAAGGAUGGACAACCCUUAGUACAGCGCAUGACAAGAAAAUCGUACCGUCUACUCCAUCUAAAUCCGGUCUCCGUCAGUAAGUGCUGUCAAAAUGAACAUUUUCUGUGGCUACGCAGUUCAAAAUUAUUUUAAUAUUUAAUCUUAAAAUAAUAUUUUUUGAAAAUAGUAAAAAAAAUAUUAAACACUAUUAUUAUUAUAUAUUAUUAAAUAUUAAUCCAGUACUGUAUUACAAUUUCUACAAAAUA